Molecule: unclassified non-coding RNA, 234 nt
Filed under: uncultured fungus
Lineage: Eukaryota; Fungi
Description: sequence contains ITS1, 5.8S rRNA gene
Rfam family: 5.8S ribosomal RNA (bases 186-234)
Source: RNAcentral
UCUCCGUUGGUGAACCAGCGGAGGGAUCAUUACAGAGUUUUAUACUCCAAACCACUGUCUACCUACCUUAACGUUGCUUCGGCAGGAGGCCCCAGGGCGGGGCCGUAGCCUUUACAGGCGCCCGCCGGAGGUUUUAAACUCUAUAUUUUUAAUUGUCUCUCUGAGUAAACUUAUAAAUAAGUCAAAACUUUCAACAACGGAUCUCUUGGUUCUGGCAUCGAUGAAGAACGCAGC